This 76-nucleotide transfer RNA is filed under the name Planctomycetota bacterium. Its description in RNAcentral is "tRNA-Arg". It matches the Rfam family "tRNA". Rfam says of the family: Transfer RNA (tRNA) molecules are approximately 80 nucleotides in length. The record is from RNAcentral. Lineage: Bacteria; Pseudomonadati; Planctomycetota.
UGCUCGGGUAGCUCAGCAGGAUAGAGCAGUCGUUUCCUAAACGACAGGUCGGCGGUUCGAAUCCGCCCCCGAGUGU